RNAcentral lists this ribosomal RNA (474 nucleotides) under uncultured bacterium. RNAcentral describes it as "bacterial SSU rRNA". It matches the Rfam family "Bacterial small subunit ribosomal RNA", at positions 28 to 481 of the family's 1533-position model. The record is from RNAcentral.
GACGAACGCUGGCGGCGUGCCUAACACAUGCAAGUUGAGCGGGAAUGUAUCUUCAGAGAUUUCGAUUGACGAAGAUGCAGGAGAGCAGCGGACGGGUGAGUAACGCGUGAGCAAUCUGCCCUGUGGAGGGGGAUAGCCUCCGGAAACGGAGAUUAAUACCGCAUAACACUGCACUGUCGCAUGAUAGAGCAGUCAAAACUCAGGUGCCACAGGAUGAGCUCGCGUCUCAUUAGCUAGUUGGUAGGGUAAAAGCCUACCAAGGCGACGAUGAGUAGCCGACCUGAGAGGGUGAUCGGCCACACUGGGACUGAGACACGGCCCAGACUCCUACGGGAGGCAGCAGUGGGGAAUUUUGGACAAUGGGCGCAAGCCUGAUCCAGCCAUGCCGCGUGCAGGAUGAAGGCCUUCGGUUGUAAACUGCUUUGUACGGAACGAAAGACUCUGGUUAAUACCUGGGGUCCAUGACGGUACCGU